AUGCCGGUGUUCCGCUCGUUUUCGCUUCUUGCAGCGGCGAUAAAACCGUUUGAAUCUGGGAACAGAACCUCUCCAAUAGCCUCUUCUCAUGCAAGGUUUUAUGGUGUUCUAUUUUGCUGCUCUGUAAUCUACAUAGAGUUCUACAAUCGGUUGUUCUACUGCUCAAUUCUGCUACUCGAUAAUUCAAAACUCUACAAUCAAUCAUUUUUAAGAAAAAUCUUGUUAAAUACUAAUUCCAUUUUGAAAACUAGCAUGAUGAAUGGUCAAAUAUAA
This 273-nucleotide long non-coding RNA is filed under the name Vicia faba (fava bean). Lineage: Eukaryota; Viridiplantae; Streptophyta; Magnoliopsida; Fabales; Fabaceae. The record is from RNAcentral.